AAACACGCUAAACAAAAGGAUAGCUUAUGAAUUCGCCCUCGACCUAAAAUUCAGACUUCCCUGUGUGAAAUCUCUCCCUCCUUGAAACCUCCUGAGCUCCUAUCUCUUUCAUUGAAACCCUCCUGAGCUAUCUGAAACACUCCCUCUCUCACCCUUCUACUCCUCAUACGUACCUACCAGCCAUCGAGACAGUGACGCCGUCGACGCCAUCGUUUUCUUCGCAUCAGUCAUCACCAGCCGCCAUCGACGCCAUCUUCACAGUCAACGACGGCAAUGUCCUUGAAAACAAAUCUAGAGACCUUGCGAGAGGGGAAAAGCCUAGAACAUUAGAUCUGUCAUCGAACCUCAGGUGACAGAUCAGAGAGACAAAGGAGAAGAUGAGCUGGUCUUCGAUGUCGCCUGAGGUUCGAUGGCAGAUCUCCAUCGCGCCUUCUUGGUCAUCGAACUCGCCAUCCACGUCACAGAUCUCGCCGUCUUGGUCAUUCUCGAGUUUGAUAAAGAUUCAUUCUCCCUUGGUGAACUUUUCAAUUAUAGGUGAAUCCAAUCCAGUAUGAAUCAAUUGGUAAUAGAAUUUCUUUCAUUAUUUCUUUUUUUUUUCGCAGAGCAUCAAUGAAUGGGUUUGAUGUCAAGAGUAGGAAUCUCUGUUUUUGGUAACUUAGAAACCGAGCACACAGAAACAGAAGGAAAUCACGGCCAAUUUAGGCCAAAGAAGAAAGAAGUCUACGAAUUGGGUUGCUAAAAAACUCUGAGUUGGUGAAUCCAAUGGGUGGACUUCUAGAGGCCUUGUUGAUUACAAUGACUGAUUUGAUAUGAAACAAAAACACAGCGCAUGUCUGAUUUGAUAAGUUUUCAACUUGCAAUUGUAUUAUUAUUAUUUUUUGUUACAAGCAGAUCCAGUUUGAUGCAAUAAUUUUGUAUCCAGUUUCCAUUGCAGGUUUUUGGUCAGAAUUAAGAAGGAAAUUGUUUGGAAUGUCAGGCACUAAGAAUUCCUUUGUAGCAAACUGAUAAAGACAUAUUGAAAUUGGUUUUUUUUCAGCAAUGUGAAGGAUAACAUUUGACGAUGGGCAAAGGCUAAGGACAAUGGAUAGGCAUGUAAAAUAGCAGUUUUUCUUUGAGAGAUAAUAAGAUCCAGCUGGUAGCUCAAAGACCCAGCUGGUAGACAACUUAGAAGAAAUAUAAGAUCCAUUUGACAAAGAUGACAGCUGAAUGUGGAGAACAAGUACAAAUUGUGGAAGAUACAACAACUUUAGGUUAAUGCUUUGUACAUGGUAUUUUGUAAUUAUAGGAUAUAAUGUAAUAGAUAUGGUAUUUUGUAUGGAUAUAGUAGGAAUCAAGAUUGGUAAACAAUGUAAUUACAAUUGAAUCUUCCAAGUUUUAUGA
This is a long non-coding RNA of Prunus mume (Japanese apricot), 1380 nucleotides long. RefSeq lists it as uncharacterized. The record is from RefSeq and is a predicted model, not a curated record. NCBI's taxonomy places the organism in Eukaryota, Viridiplantae, Streptophyta, Magnoliopsida, Rosales, Rosaceae.